This 671-nucleotide ribosomal RNA is filed under the name uncultured Bacteroidota bacterium. RNAcentral's name for it is "bacterial SSU rRNA". It matches the Rfam family "Bacterial small subunit ribosomal RNA", at positions 8 to 688 of the family's 1533-position model. Lineage: Bacteria; Pseudomonadati; Bacteroidota. The record is from RNAcentral.
AGAGUUUGAUCAUGGCUCAGGAUGAACGCUAGCGGCAGGCCUAACACAUGCAAGUCGAACGAAGUCUUCGGACUUAGUGGCGCACGGGUGCGUAACGCGUAGACAAUCUACCUCUUACAUAGGGAUAACAUUGGAAAGCUAAUGCUAAUACCUUAUAAUAAUCUGUAUGGCAUCAUAUAGAUUUAAAAGCUUUGGUGGUAAGAGAUGAGUCUGCGUUCCAUUAGUUAGUUGGUAAGGUAAUGGCUUACCAAGACUCCGAUGGAUAGCGGGUCUGAGAGGAUGAUCCGCCACACUGGCACUGAGAUACGGGCCAGACUCCUACGGGAGGCAGCAGUGAGGAAUAUUGGGCAAUGGGCGGAAGCCUGACCCAGCCAUGCCGCGUGUUGGAAGACGGUCUAUAGAUUGUAAACAACUUUUUUCGUGGAAGAAAAGGGCUUUGCGGAGCAGAUUGACGGUACACGAGGAAUAAGCACCGGCUAACUACGUGCCAGCAGCCGCGGUAAUACGUAGGGUGCAAGCGUUGUCCGGAUUUAUUGGGUUUAAAGGGUGCGUAGGCGGUAUAAUAAGUCAUGGGUGAAAGGUCGGCGCUUAACGUUGAGAGUGCCUGUGAUACUGUUAUACUUGAGUAUGGUAGAGGNUUGGCGGAAUUUAGGGGUGUAGCGGUGAAAAUG